RNAcentral lists this ribosomal RNA (525 nucleotides) under uncultured bacterium. RNAcentral describes it as "bacterial SSU rRNA". It matches the Rfam family "Bacterial small subunit ribosomal RNA", at positions 8 to 526 of the family's 1533-position model. The record is from RNAcentral.
AGAGUUUGAUCAUGGCUCAGAUUGAACGCUGGCGGCGUGCCUAACACAUGCAAGUCGAGCGGUAACAGGCGUAGCAAUACGUGCUGACGAGCGGCGGACGGGUGAGUAAUGCUUGGGAAUCUUCCCGGUAGUGGGGAAUAACCAACCGAAAGGUUGGCUAAUACCGCAUACGUUCUACGGAAGAAAGCGGGGGACCGUAAGGCCUCGCGCUAUCGGAUGAGCCCAAGUCGGAUUAGCUAGUUGGCGGGGUAACGGCCCACCAAGGCGACGAUCCGUAGCUGGUCUGAGAGGACGACCAGCCACACUGGGACUGAGACACGGCCCAGACUCCUACGGGAGGCAGCAGUGGGGAAUAUUGGACAAUGGGGGAAACCCUGAUCCAGCGACGCCGCGUGUGUGAAGAAGGCCUGCGGGUUGUAAAGCACUUUUAGUGGGGAUGAAAAGCACCGGGCUAAUACCCAGGUGUCUUGACCUAACCCAAAGAAAAAGCACCGGCUAACUCUGUGCCAGCAGCGGCGGUAAUAC